Molecule: ribosomal RNA, 330 nt
Filed under: uncultured eukaryote
Lineage: Eukaryota
Description: partial 18S ribosomal RNA
Rfam family: Eukaryotic small subunit ribosomal RNA
Source: RNAcentral
CCCUUAGAUGUUCUGGGCCGCACGCGCGCUACACUGACGCAUUCAACGAGUCUAAAACCUGGUCUGAUAGGGCUGGGUAAUCUUUUGAAUGUGCGUCGUGAUUGGGAUAAAUGAUUGUAAUUCUUCAUUUUCAACGAGGAAUGCCUAGUAAACGCAAGUCAUCAGCUUGCAUUGAUUAUGUCCCUGCCCUUUGUACACACCGCCCGUCGCUCCUACCGAUUGAAUGAUCCGAUGAAUAUCAUGGACUGAGAGUGUUAGAGUUUUCGGACUUCUACACUUCUCGGGAAGUGAAGUGAAUCUUAUCAUUUAGAGGAAGGAGAAGUCGUAACA